This is an RNA transcript of Myotis lucifugus (little brown bat), 2804 nucleotides long. It is a transcript of the gene named RALY heterogeneous nuclear ribonucleoprotein, with no coding region annotated. The record is from RefSeq and is a predicted model, not a curated record. NCBI's taxonomy places the organism in Eukaryota, Metazoa, Chordata, Mammalia, Chiroptera, Vespertilionidae. The transcript has 10 exons.
CAGCAGUAACUAUGAAAACAAUCCUGAGAGGGGUCUGAAAAGAAUAUAUCAAACUUCGGCUUCUCCAUCACCAUCUUCAUCAUUGAAAUCGAUGGUUAGGAAUGUGCUACUGGAUUUCUAUCCAGACCCUGGCAGAGGGAGUUGUCCUUGGCAUUUGGUGCCCACCAUGUCCUUGAAGAUCCAGACAAGCAACGUAACCAACAAGAAUGACCCCAAGUCCAUCAACUCCCGGGUCUUCAUCGGAAACCUCAACACAGCUGUGGUGAAGAAGUCAGAUGUGGAGACCAUCUUCUCCAAGUAUGGCCGUGUGGCCGGCUGUUCUGUGCACAAGGGCUAUGCCUUUGUCCAGUAUGCCAACGAGCGCCAUGCCCGAGCAGCUGUGCUGGGAGAGAAUGGGCGGGUGCUGGCAGGGCAGACCCUGGACAUCAACAUGGCUGGUGAGCCCAAGCCCAACAGACCCAAGGGGUUAAAGAGAGCAGCAUCUGCCAUUUACAGUGGCUACAGCUUUGACUAUGAUUACUACCGGGACGACUUCUACGACAGGCCAUGCUGCAGCCUCUGGCCCAUUUGCCCUCACAGGCUCUUCGACUAUCGGGGCCGCCUUUCACCGGUGCCUGUGCCCAGGGCUGUCCCUGUGAAGCGACCCCGGGUCACAGUCCCUUUGGUCCGACGUGUCAAAACCACCAUUCCAGUCAAGCUCUUUGCCCGCUCCACAGCCAUCACCACCAGCUCAGUCAAAAUUAAGUUAAAGAGCAGUGAGCUGCAGGCCAUCAAGACAGAGCUGACACAGAUCAAGUCCAACAUUGACGCCCUGCUGGGCCGCUUGGAACAGAUUGCUGAGGAGCAGAAGGCCAACCCAGAUGGCAAGAAGAAAGGCGACAGCGGCAGCGGCAGCGGCAGCGGCAAUAGUGGUGGCAGCAGCCGGCCACUGGCCCCACAAGAGGACACAACUUCUGAGGCAGGCACACCCCAGGGAGAAGCACAGGUUCGAGAUGACGGCGAUGAGGAGGGGCUGCUGACACACAGCGAGGAAGAGCUGGAGCACAGCCAGGACACAGAUGCAGAGGAAGGGGCCUUGCAGUAAGCAGUCUGACAGGAGCGAUGGCCACUGGAAGGAGAAGGGCGUGCACUGUACCAGGCCUCAGGCUGGGCACCCACCCCUGGAUGCCACCCCAGCAGGUCCCAGAGGAGAGUUGGCAGCAGGCACCUCAUCCCCCAUGCAUCCCAGCCAGUGCCACAUCCUCUGCAGGUAAGUUCCUGCCUUCUCCAUGACCGAUCGAGCAUCAAACCCGCAACCCAGGUACAUCGCCUUGACCGAGAAUCGAACCUGCGACCCAUCGGUGCACUGGCUGACACUCUAACCAUGGAACCACACCAGCCAGGGCUUAAAUUUCUUUAUGUCCUAAGUACAUUAAGGAAACUGAGCUACACUGAAACCAAACUGUGGUCUAUAAUAAAGUAGGGUUGGUAUAGUCCUCACUCGAUAGAGAAGGAUCUGCAAGAUAUUGUGGAAACCUAUAUAGCCCCAUCUCAGUUAUCCUCUCCUAUCUUAAGAAGGACCUAACUGUGUAAAUGAGUAAUUCUGAAAUGCAUUCAGUCUGAAGAACUUAAUUUGGCAAACUUAAAGAAGAACCAGGAGGAAGGAGUUCCCCACUGCUGACCUACUAAGCCACAGGUCACCCUACAUGGAAUGUCCAAGGAGGUAGCUACAGUUCAUACGCACUCCUGAGAUAAGGACAUUUGGCAAAAGGAUCUAGGUACUAUAAGUUUGGUUGUCUUGCAGGGCUUACAAUUCAUUUAUUGCUUUUUUUCCCAAGUAGCAACUACCCUGGAAUAAUAAUUACAUUUAUUAUUACUCAGCAUGACAGACCAAAGAUGGGAGGGGUCCUGAAAUCAAAAGAAGACAGCCUCACAAGUGCCUUAUCCUCUGAAAAACAUUCGUAUUUAACCUACAGGUUAACAGUUUAUUUGUAGCCUUGUAAAGGGUAUGAAACAUGCAGGAAUUAUACUACACUGAAAUAAUUAAUAUCUCUCUUAAUUACUGACUCUGGAUACUUACGACACACUCAUCCCCUCAUUUUAUUCACACCACCUCUGAGUUAAAAAUAAGGAAACCAGGGAUCCCAAAGCAGUGCCCAAAGCAGACCUCCCCCAAACCACAAGGCCAUGUUGGUCUUGACUAAAAAAUUGCUUUUUAAGACUUAAAAGCAAUUUAAGACUGUUGUUAUCUCUAGGUGAAAGGAUUCUAGAUUUUUAUUUCUCUUUGUAUUCUUCUGCAUUCUGUACACUUAGUACAACACACAUUCCAUUUUUAAAUCAGAAACUUCUUUAGCUUAAAGCUUCUUUUGUAAACUACCUUACUGUGUUGUAUGAAAACCCAAUGUUCUGACACUUAGUGAACAGGAUCUAGUAAUAAGCAAUCUUAACUAUUGACAGCACUUUUAAAAAAUUGGUCUGGAAAAUAACGAAUGCCUACAGGUUUGAGGAUUUUUCCUUACAGGCAUCACCCAUAUUUCUCAAAUACAGCUUUUUAAAGGUCUUGGUUCCACUAGGUUAAAAAAGGCUAUGUUGUGGUGAAUUCUGGCUUAAUUAUCAGAUAUAAAAAGAAAUGUGUACAGCCCUGGCCGGGUUGCUCAGUUGGUUAGAGGAUCAUUCCUGAGCCAAGAUUGUGGAUUCGAACCCCUGGUCAGGGCACAUACGAGAAUCAACCAAUGAAUGCAUAGAUAAGUGGGACAACAAACUGAUGUUUCUCUCUCUUCCCUCCUUUCUCUAAAAUAAAAAAGAACCGUGUACAGCUUACUUUC